Callithrix jacchus (white-tufted-ear marmoset) is the source of this 4054-nucleotide long non-coding RNA. RefSeq lists it as uncharacterized. Lineage: Eukaryota; Metazoa; Chordata; Mammalia; Primates; Cebidae. The record is from RefSeq and is a predicted model, not a curated record.
AGCUCUCCUCUUAUCUGAGCUCACCCUGGAAUCAAGCCCCACCUCCCUGCUCCAGGCUGAUGCCUCCUAGUAGAGCUUCCUCCCAACACCAGCACCUACAGGCCUGUGAGGCAGGAGCUGGGAUGUUCUGUCCCGGCUGCUCAACCCCCUCACACUGGCUCACAUUUGCAUUCACGGAACAUGCUCAGGGCACAUGCCACACUCCUUUUCAGGACACCCAGGCCUGCGUGAUGAGUUCCUUCCCCAGCAACAGCACCCACCAAACACCAGGGAACAGCAAGGCCACAACCCCACAGGAAAAAGCAGAGAACUUCAGAAAGCAGCAGCUCAGACACAAGGUAUGGCCACAACCCGCAAGCCCACGGCGACAAGGGAUGUUCGCUCACGCGAGGCGAUGGGGAGGAGGACAGAGAGCCUCCUAAGGAGGGGAGGUGUGUACCCUGAUGAGGGGAAAGGCAGACGGAGGGGAAGAUGAAAAGAAGAAGAAGGAGAAGAAAGAAAGAAAGAAGAAGAAGGAGGAGAAGGAGAAGGAGAAGGAGGAGGAGGGGGUAGGGGGAGGAGGAGGGAGGAGAAGGAGGAAAGAGGAAGAAAGGAGAAUUAGGGGAAAAGAAGAAGGAGGAAGAGGGAGGAAGGAAGAGGAGGAAAAGGAGGAGGGAGGAAGAAGAAGGAGGAGGAGAGAAAGGAAAGGGGAAAAAACACUCAAACAUAGAUAUAUAACUUGUCAGAUGUCACCCCGUUUGUAAAGAUGCUGGGAUUUGAACUUAGUCAAUCUGACCCUACAAAUACUAUACUGUCUCCCAGAACACAUUUCCGCUAUGAUAUUCAGUACAUAGUGGUUGUUCAAUAAAUAUUGUUCAAAUGUUGGAUGGGGGAAAGCCAAAGAGAAGCUGUUGAGGAAGAACUGGCCUCCCCAAAGCAGAAUGUGUGAAGCGGACCAUGGCUCCAGCCCCUUCCCUAACAGCUGGGCGUGGAGUCACAGGGGGAUCUGGCAGGAAGACUCAAGACCCUCCAUGGUCAUUCCCUGCCUGAUUUGCCCCAUGGGGCUCUGAGAGUCAGAGCGAGGAACAGCUGCUGGCUUCCCAGGUUCAAAAUCAUCAUCAUCAAGUAUUUAUUAAGCUCCCACUGUGUACAGAGGGGGUUCUAAGGGAUGGGACCAGAGCUGAAUUUAUUUUCAUUUCUAACUGCAGCAGCCUUAGGCAUCAGAAAGGAAGUCACCAUGAUGGAAUUCCCCAGCACACCUGGGGUUUUAAAAGGGAGGCCUCCUCUUCUCUGGUCCUUGAUUCCCCAUCACCCUUUGGCCUCUGUCCAGCUCCCUCCCUAGAUGGGAAGAGGAAAGGGCAGGAGAUCCAUGCACACAUACACGGACACACACCCAGAAAACAUGUUAAGCAGGUGGACACACAUGCACAUGUGUACUAGUCCAUGCAUGUGCACAUGCACACAGGAAGCUUCUAAAGCAGCUCUCCUGACUGGUAAGCAGCAAGUAGCCAGGUCAGGGAGGGACACAGCUCCCCCCAAAUGAGCCCAAAUUACCCUCUGUAUAUAAGUUCUCACCCCUCCAAUCCCCCAUCACCUCUGAUGAUUGAGAGCUAAAUAUUACUUGUAAUUCAAGCCACAACCCCAAACACCUGAUGAUUGCUCUUGCCCAAUAGUCUUGAUUCCGGCCAGGCAUGGUGGCUCAGGCUUAUAAUCCCAACAAUUCAGGAGCCCAAGCCAGGAGGACUGAUUGAAGGCAGGAGUUCAAGACCAGCCUGGACAACAUACCAAGACCCAGUCUCUACAAAAAAAAUUUUUUAAUUAGCUGGACAUAGUGGCAAGUGCCCGUAGUCCAGCUACCCAGGAGGUUGAGGGAGGAGGACUGCUUGAGCCCAAGAGUUUGAGGCUGCAGUGAGCUCGGGUGGCAGAGUGUGAUGCUGUCUCUAAAAAGUUAAAAUAUAAAAUAACAAUCUUGAUUCUUGUUAUCAUCAAUGACGUAGUCAUUCCCCCUACCCCUGCCACCACACACACACACACACACACACACACACAUACGCACACACGCACCCACACACACACACACACACACACACACUACAGGUCACAGCUCCAGGCCUCAGAUGCAAGCCUGGGAUCUCGUGUGUUUUCCCAUGACCAGACCCUCUAGCACCCACCCCCAGCCCCUUCAGGCUCUCCUGCCUUCCCUCUCCUUCCCUUCUGUAUUCUUGAUGUCCCUCCCACUCCUCCAUCCCCAGAUAGAGCCACCUGCUUGAUUCAAGUCUCCAGAUCACAUACUUAAGUUUAAUGAUCUUCCAAUAAAUUAUCAUGAAUAUGUUGUUAGUAGCAAAAAACGUGCUGUUCAUUGUGGUUUUCUAGUGCUGGAUACAGCUUCUGGGCUGCAAAAAAUUCAUUUUGGAGAGCAGGCUCCAGGCCUGGGUAUUCCUGUGCUCACUCCACACCCAGCUGCCUCAGCUAACCUUUCUGGCCAGCCUCAUGCCUCCAGUUCUCCUGGCUGUGCCAGUGGGAUCCAAAUGGGGCCUGUUAGAGCACGUCCUGCCAUCACGGACGAGGAUGAGAAAUAGCUUGGGUGGAGCCCACCAAAGAUCAGUGGUUAUCUGGAAAUGGACUGGAACUUGACAGCUGACGCCACUGAGCCAGCUCAUGCCCCUUGUUACAGCUAUCCUGUCAUGAACAGGAGAAGAACAAUGUCAUGUUUACAGCUUGGGCUCAAGUGUCAGACUGCCCAGGCUGGAGCCCUUCUCUACCGCAGGACAGCUGCGUGACCGCAGGCAAGAUGACCUUCUGAUCAUCCAUAUACAUCUCUUCCUGACUCCACAGUGAUGUCACAUUGGCAGCUUGAAAUCAACCAUGCUAGGAGUAUUUACACCAAGAAAUCAGCUAACACUGUAAAUUAGAGCUUAUGUUUUCCUGGAAGCCGCUUAUUAAACUUUUCCUGGCUGUUGGGUAUGUAUCAGCGCACUGCUGCCGCCUAUGUCAUUAUAUACAGGCUGUGCAUGCCACCCUCUGCCUUUCUGCUCACCAGCACAAGCUUUGCCACUUGCCCACUGUGUGACCAAUUGCUUAUCUUCUCAGGCCUUCAAUUUCCUUAGUUCCAGUGAGAGCACCGGCCAAGUACUUUGUAACUGCCAAGCACCGCCAGGUUAGUGAAUCAGCUGGGAGCGCUCAACCGCAGAGCCUGAUCAUGGCAGGUUUUCCAUGCUGCCCUCCAGAUGCACUGCUCUCAGGUGUCAUCUGUCUGCUGUUGCUGCAUGUCAAAGCCCCACUGUUGAAAAGUCCCCAGUGCUUCCCCUGGCCCCCAGCCACAACCGUGUCUUCACAGCAGCCUGAGUGGAGGCCUUCACCCAUCUUAUAGAUGAGAAAACUGAGACAUUAGACACAUUGUAAAACUUGCCCAGAGUUACUAAUUAAUAACUAGUCAUAAAGCUGGAAUCAAACCCAGGCCUGUCCAACCUCAAAGCUCAAACACUCAACAUAUGUCCUGAAACCCAAAUGCAAAAGAUUCAGUCUUACUGAUAGUGAUUAAACAUUACCACGCGACUCACACAUCAAACCCUCAGGAACUUAGUCUCACUGUAGAGACAAGUUAUACUCACAUGGGUGACAAAAUACAGCAAUGACAAUCCCAAAGGGUGGUCGAGACAGUAGAGUUCACUGAAGGCAGAGGGUUGUCAAGGGUGGCUUCAUGGAGGUGGUGAUACGUAAGCCACAGCUUAAAGAAUGGGGAGUAACUCCUUAUACUGCCCUAAGAUGAGAGGCUGACAAAUUAGGCCUCUUUAGUCUGCAGAGGAGGGUGUGGAGGAGCUUCUUACCCCAGAGAGUACAGGGAGAGUGAACAAGGAAGGUAGGGGUGGCCUUUGGCCAUGCCAGCCACAGCAAGCAUGCUGUCGCUCAGUUCCUGCCCUCCUUCCCUGGCUCAUUCCUCACCACCUUCCUCCUUAAGCCCCAGCAUCGCCGACCUACUGUAGCUCUCCCAUAAGUCAUGCUAUUUCAGCUCAUUAGCCCAUGUGGGUUCAGUCAUUACUGUGUUCUUAUCUGGGAGCUUCGUUACUGGACUAAU